Molecule: long non-coding RNA, 1971 nt
Filed under: Homo sapiens (human)
Lineage: Eukaryota; Metazoa; Chordata; Mammalia; Primates; Hominidae
Description: non-protein coding lnc-WASHC5-14:3
Source: RNAcentral
AGGUCAUUGCAGUGAGUAAGGACACAGACAGGCUUUAUAGAUAGAAAGUGAGACUAUAUCAAAGUGCUCAAAGCAGGAAGAGAGAGAUGUGGGGCAAGGAAAAGAGAGGAGAGCAGCAUUGAUUCCAUUUUCGGAGACAACACAAAAGGCAGGCCCGCUACCUCCUUGCCUGUUCUGCUCAGUGAAGAGAGAAUCUCAACCCCCAGCUACGUGUCCCCAAAGGGUCAAAUGGGAUCAUCACAGAGCCUCCCCGGGUGACUUGGCCUUGUCUUUUACACAGAACUGUAGCAUCCCCUGCCACAGAGUAUUUGGACAAGGCUUUGGGGCUUCUGAGAGCCAUUCCCCACCAUGCCCUGCCGUCCUGGGAGCAUGCCUACCAGAAAUCCAGGACACAAUUCACGUCUUCUCGGACCUGCACACACUCAGCCGCUGGCCCGGCUGGAACUCAGCUGAGCCCCUAUGUGGACGGUUCAAGAAAAACAAUGCCUGACAGAAUGAAACCUCACUUCCUCAUGUGUAACCUGACAUGAGGGCUUUCCCCACAACCCUUCAUGGAAGCACAGGUUUCCACACUGCUUAGAUGAGAAACAGAGGUUUGAAGUAAUCAUGCCAAAGCUCAGGCCAAGUCAGUGAUGCUCUUGUCACUGUGUUGUGGCUGCUAGGAGGAGACGGUAUCUGUUCCUGACCCAAAAAGUCCCAUUUCACAUUUCACAAGUCAUAUAUGACUAAAGAUGAUCACUGUCAGCCCCCCAGCUCAAGGACAGGAGCAUCUAAAAUAAAUCAUCUACCAGACACUAACAUAAAUCAUUUCAUUUCAGCCUUACCAUGACUACGAUAAGGUCAGAAUCAUGACACCAAUUGUACAGACAUUGGGGGAGCUAAAAGUGAUUUAUCAAAGAUCCAAGAACCAGUGACAGAAGAUGGCAUCCCAAAACCUAUGCUCUUUCCACUACCAUAGAGAGCACCAUUGUGAACAAUGCAGAUUCCUGGGCUCCACCCCAGACCAGCUGGAUCAGAAUCUCUGAGGGUGGAACCCACCAAUGUGCUCUUAAAAAGCCAUUUCUGGCUGAUCCCAGUGGCUCAUGCCUGUUAUCCCAGCACUUUGGGAGGCUGAGGCAGGAGGAUCACUUGUGGCCAGGAGUUUGAGGUCCAGUGAGUCAGUGAGCUAUUAUUGCACCACGGCACUCCAGCCUGGGCAACAGGAUAAGACCCUGUCUCUAAAAAAAUAAAAAUAAAAAAAUAAAAAGUCAUUUCUCUCCAUGAUUUGCGUAAGAAGAGUGAUUUAUGCCACAUUUUUAUGAAAGUGUAAGACGAGUGAUUUAUGCCACACAAAAUUCCAGCAAUACUAGGCAAUGGCCCAAGAUUUGUCACUAGAGCACGUGGCCUGGGAGGCUGAUUCACAGAGUUAAGAACAUGGUAUCUGGAGCCGGGUUGCUUGGGUUUGAAACCUGGCUCUGCCACAUACUAGCUACGUCACCUGGGGCAAGUCACGUAUUCUCACUGGGCCUCAGUUUCUUCCUCUGAAAAAUUGGUGUCAAAAUAGUACAUACCUGUAUGGUUGUCUGGGAGAUUGAAUGAGUUAAGUUUGUAAAGAGCUUAGAACAGUGUCUGCCAGAGAAUAAACACCCAAAAUAUUGUCAUUACUGUUAUAUGAUUAAUUGUCCAAAAUGACACAGGAAAGAGGAGAAUUCUUGAUACUGUCCCUGAAGGAGGAGGUCAAAGGGCAGAGUUUCAAAGUAUUCGGCUGGAUAAAGAGAAAAGAGAUGAAAUAACUAGCUCUUUCUUUAGUUUCUAGGCUGGUUCUUACGACACUGUUUAUUCCUUGGGAAAUGUCACCAGGAGCAAGUCACUGCAGUUGAGACGGGUCAUGAAUCGUUCUGCAGGGCUGAAUCACAGCCGAAGCGUGGCCCAGGAUGGUCAGGUGAGCCCUGUGACGGUUCCUGUUGCUUAAGCGCUGACUCCUUUCCCAAA